GACAGGCAAUCUGGAGAGCGCCGAACUAACUGUGAGUUCAGCCACCGAAGGGGCACGCGGACAGAAUUCUACCGUAAAACUCUCAGGUAAAAGGACAGAGGGGUGAAG
RNAcentral lists this non-coding RNA (108 nucleotides) under Nitrosomonas communis. RNAcentral's name for it is "Glycine sequence". It matches the Rfam family "Glycine riboswitch aptamer". Rfam says of the family: This family represents the bacterial glycine riboswitch. Glycine riboswitches usually consist of two metabolite-binding aptamers domains with similar structures in tandem. The aptamers cooperatively bind glycine to regulate the expression of downstream genes. Lineage: Bacteria; Pseudomonadati; Pseudomonadota; Betaproteobacteria; Nitrosomonadales; Nitrosomonadaceae. The record is from Rfam by way of RNAcentral.